Long non-coding RNA from Zophobas morio, 464 nucleotides. RefSeq lists it as uncharacterized. Lineage: Eukaryota; Metazoa; Arthropoda; Insecta; Coleoptera; Tenebrionidae. The transcript has 3 exons. The record is from RefSeq and is a predicted model, not a curated record.
CUAGCUCUAGAGAGAAUCGAAUUAAUAAUAAUUUUUCUCCGCAUAGACGGCAAAGGGCCAUCGUAGUCUGGUAUUCUGCGUCUUCAAGAUUUUCUUCAGAAAGUGAUUCGAACCUUAUUUUUCUUGAUUUUUCUAUGUGCGGACACGUUGGGUCUACUCGAGAUUUCCGAGACGUGCAGAAGUCCUUAAAAAAGUUAUAAUCAACAGUCAUUUAAUCAAAUUUAUAUUUUUCUCUUUUUUUUUUUCCUAUUGGGAUGUACGUACUCUGUUUCAACCGUUUAUAACACGCAUUGUCCCCUUUCUACUGUUUACUGUUGCUCGCAUGCUUACUAAAUUGUGACCGUUAUGUUGUUUAAAGUUUUAAAAUACAUUAUAAAAGUGAGCCAGGCGAGCUGGCAGGCAAGUUUGAUUAUCAAAUUAAUUUUAUAUAAAGUAUAUUCUUCUGCAGUUACGUUAUAGAGCUC